This 253-nucleotide ribosomal RNA is filed under the name uncultured bacterium. RNAcentral describes it as "partial 16S ribosomal RNA". It matches the Rfam family "Bacterial small subunit ribosomal RNA", at positions 524 to 776 of the family's 1533-position model. The record is from RNAcentral.
UACGUAGGGACCAAGCGUUGUUCGGAUUUACUGGGCGUAAAGGGCGCGUAGGCGGCUUAACAAGUCACUUGUGAAAUCUCCGGGCUUAACUCGGAACGGUCAAGUGAUACUGUCGGACUAGAGUACAGAAGGGGCAACUGGAAUUCUCGGUGUAGCGGUGAAAUGCGUAGAUAUCGAGAGGAACACCGGUGGCGAAGGCGGGUCUCUGGGCCGUAACUGACGCUGAGGAGCGAAAGCAUGGGGAGCGAACAGG